CACUCCAGCAGGUAUAUUUCACUGGUCACCCCCAAAGCCAAUUCUUCCUUUGGCCGCCUUUCCUUCCAGUUCUCUGCUGCCAACGACUGGAACGAACUGCAAAAAUCGCUGAAGCUGGAGACUCUUAUCUCCCUCACUAACAUCAAGCAUCAGCUGUCAGAGCAGCUCACAGAUCAUUGGACCUGUAAAUAGCCCAUCCAACUACCUCAUCCCCAUACGGUAUUUAUUUAUUUAUUUUUGCUCCUUUGCACCCCAGUAUCUUUACUUGCACAUUCAUCUUCUGCACAUCUAUCACUCCAGGGUUUAAUUGCUAUAUCGUAUUUACCUCGCCACUAUGGCCUAUUUGAUUGUCUUACCUCCCGUAUUUUACCUCAUUUGCACACACUGUAUAUGUACUUUUUUCUACUGUAUUAUCGACGGUAUGUUUGUUUAUUCCAUGUGUAAGUCUGUGUUGUUGUUUGUGUUGCACUGAUUUGCUUUAUCUUGACCAGUUCGCAGUUGUAAAUGAGAACUUUUUCCAACUAGCCUACCUGGUUAAAUCAAGGUGAAUUAAAAAAAUUAUUAUAAUAAUAAAACAUGACCCUGCAAAUGUUGUUAUAAAGCUAUACCCAAUAUCACUGUGUGGAGGCGGCAUGGCCUACCAACAAGAGAGGAAAAGGAGCUGUCGGAAGCUGAGUCUGACCACCCAGGCCCUGAGGUACCUCCUCCCUAGCCCCUCUCCAGUGGAUAUGAUGACUGACAGGCUGGGAGAGCAGGGAGACACAGAGCCACCUAAUGACGAUCCGCCUCUUAUAGCUGAGGAGAAACACUGGACUCCGGCACAAUCCCCAUCCAAGGAGAGCUCUGAAUCUAUGUUCUCUUUCAGCGCUGCCUCCUCUCUGCUCCCGCUGAGAUGGGGCAUCCCUUAUUAAGCACAGUGAUGCUGCAGCAGAUCUCCUCCCUGGAGGAUGGUGUCACAGCAGGCAGGAUGACAGCCCAUCCCUCCCAGCAGACAUACUCCACCCAGGCUGCCCUGACACUAGAGGGCGCCACAGACCCUGUCUCAUUCAACAGCCUGAGUAAAGACACCAGGAAUGUUUAUUUUUUUCACCUUUAUUUAACCAGGUAGGCUAGUUGAGAACCAGGUCUCAUUAGCAACUGCGACCUGGCCAAGAUAAAGCAUAGCAAUUCAACACAUACAACAACACAGAGUUACACAUAGAAUAAACAAAACAUACAGUCAAUAAUACAGUAGAACAAAAGAAAACAAAAAGUCUAUAUACAGUGAGUGCAAAUGAGGUAAGAUAAGGGAGUUAAGGCAAUAAAUUGGCCAUGGUGGCGAAGUAAUUACAAUAUAGAAAUUAAACAUUGGAAUGGUAGAUGUGCAGAAGAUGAAUGUGCAAGUAGAGAUGCUGGGGUGCAAAGGAGCAAGAUAAAUACUGUAUGGGGAUGAGGUAGGUAGAUAGAUGGGCUGUUUACAGAUGGGCUAUAUACAGGUGCAGUGAUCUGUGAGCUGCUCUGACAGCUGGUGCUUAAAGCUAGUGAGGGAGAUAUGAGUCUCCAGCUUCAGAGAUUUUUGCAGUUCGUUCCAGUCAUUGGCAGCAGAGAACUGGAAGGAAAGACAACCAAAGUAGGAAUUGGCUUUGGGGGUGACCAGUGAGAUAUACCUGCUGGAGCGCAUGCUACGAGUGGGUGCUGCUAUGGUGACCAGUGAGCUGAGAUAAGGCGGGGCUUUACCUAGCAGAGACUUGUAGAUAACCUGUAGCCAGUGGGUUUGGCGACGAGUAUGAAGCGAGGGCCAACCAACAAGAGCGUACAGGUCGCAAUGGUGGGUUGUGUCUGGGGCUUUGGUGACAAAGCGGAUGGCACUGUGAUAGACUGCAUUUGUUGAGUAGAGUGUUGGAAGCUAUUUUAUAGAUGACAUCGCCGAAGUCGAGGAUCGGUAGGAUGGUCAGUUUUACGAGGGUAUGUUUAGCAGCAUGAGUGAAGGAUGCUUUGUUGCGAUAUAGGAAGCCAAUUCUAGAUUUAAUUUUGGAUUAGAGAUGCUUACUGUGAGUCUGGAAGGAGAGUUUACAGUCUAACCAGACACCUAGGUAUUUGUAGUUAUCCACGUAUUCUAAGUCAGAGCCAUCCAGAGUAGCAUGCAUUUAGUUUUACUUGCGUUUAAGAGCAGUUGGAGGCCACGGAAGGAGAGUUGUAAUGGCAUUCUCCACUGAGUGUGAGUUCAGAUGCACUGACUGGAGCUGUAUGAUACUCAAGAUUUAAGUUGUCAACUCUUUUUGAAAUAAAGUUGUUGAAUAUUACCCCAAAAUAACAUUUUCUGGUUUUCUGAGUUGUUGAAUAUUACCCCAACAUAACAUUUUCUGGUUUUCUGAGUUGUUGAAUAUUACCCCAACAUAACAUUUUCUGGUUUUCUGAGUUGUUGAAUAUUACCCCAACAUUUUCUGGUUUUCUGAGUUGUUGAAUAUUACCCCAACAUAACAUUUUCUGGUUUUCUGAGUUGUUGAAUAUUACCCCAACAUAACAUUUUCUGGUUUUCUGAGUUGUUGAAUAUUACCCCAACAUAACAUUUUCUGGUUUUCUGAGUUGUUGAAUAUUACCCCAACAUAACAUUUUCUGGUUUUCUGAGUUGUUGAAAGUGUGUGUUUCCAUUGGGGGGAGUAGAGGAGAUCAUGACCUGUGAUACCAGGAGACAACCUCGUAAUUGUGGAAGAGGAGGCAGUUCC
Long non-coding RNA from Oncorhynchus kisutch (coho salmon), 2705 nucleotides. The record is from Ensembl. NCBI's taxonomy places the organism in Eukaryota, Metazoa, Chordata, Actinopteri, Salmoniformes, Salmonidae.